RNAcentral lists this ribosomal RNA (497 nucleotides) under uncultured bacterium. RNAcentral's name for it is "partial 16S ribosomal RNA". It matches the Rfam family "Bacterial small subunit ribosomal RNA", at positions 28 to 507 of the family's 1533-position model. The record is from RNAcentral.
GAUGAACGCUGGCGGCGUGCCUAAUACAUGCAAGUCGAGCGAACGGACGAGAAGCUUGCUUCUCUGAUGUUAGCGGCGGACGGGUGAGUAACACGUGGAUAACCUACCUAUAAGACUGGGAUAACUUCGGGAAACCGGAGCUAAUACCGGAUAAUAUUUUGAACCGCAUGGUUCAAAAGUGAAAGACGGUCUUGCUGUCACUUAUAGAUGGAUCCGCGCUGCAUUAGCUAGUUGGUAAGGUAACGGCUUACCAAGGCAACGAUGCAUAGCCGACCUGAGAGGGUGAUCGGCCACACUGGAACUGAGACACGGUCCAGACUCCUACGUGAGGCAGCAGUAGGGAAUGUUCCGCAAUGGGCGAAAGCCUGACGGAGCAACGCCGCGUGAGUGAUGACGGUCUUCGGAUCGUAAAACUCUGUUAUUAGGGAAGAACAUAUGUGUAAGUAACUGUGCACAUCUUGACGGUACCUAAUCAGAAAGCCACGGCUAACUACGUG